This 210-nucleotide long non-coding RNA is filed under the name Mytilus galloprovincialis (Mediterranean mussel). The record is from RNAcentral. Lineage: Eukaryota; Metazoa; Mollusca; Bivalvia; Mytilida; Mytilidae.
CUGUAAAUUUGUCAUGGCAUUUAUUACAAGAAAGAAAUACAAUCAACUUGUCAAUCAAAACUUGAUGACGAUUGAAUUACUGAAGGGCGAUCCAGCAGUAACAAAGUUAUAUCAGGAGCCACUGGGUAGUCCAUAGCAGCUUAAAGUAAAUUUCGCCUGUCCAUUCACAAUUAUACAUAAAAGCUCCAAACUCAGUCUGUUAUAUAUGCC